RNAcentral lists this ribosomal RNA (1341 nucleotides) under uncultured bacterium. RNAcentral describes it as "16S ribosomal RNA". It matches the Rfam family "Bacterial small subunit ribosomal RNA", at positions 28 to 1381 of the family's 1533-position model. The record is from RNAcentral.
GACGAACGCUGGCGGCGUGCUUAACACAUGCAAGUCGAACGGUAAGGCUCCAGCUUGCUGGGGUACACGAGUGGCGAACGGGUGAGUAACACGUGGGUGACCUGCCCUGCACUUCGGGAUAAGCCUGGGAAACUGGGUCUAAUACCGGAUAGGACCGCACCGUGAGGGUGUGGUGGAAAGUUUUUUCGGUGUGGGAUGGGCCCGCGGCCUAUCAGCUUGUUGGUGGGGUAAUGGCCUACCAAGGCGGCGACGGGUAGCCGGCCUGAGAGGGUGGACGGCCACAUUGGGACUGAGACACGGCCCAGACUCCUACGGGAGGCAGCAGUGGGGAAUAUUGCACAAUGGGCGGAAGCCUGAUGCAGCGACGCCGCGUGGGGGAUGACGGCCUUCGGGUUGUAAACUCCUUUCACCAUCGACGAAGGGUUUCUGACGGUAGAUGGAGAAGAAGCACCGGCUAACUACGUGCCAGCAGCCGCGGUAAUACGUAGGGUGCGAGCGUUGUCCGGAAUUACUGGGCGUAAAGAGCUCGUAGGUGGUUUGUCGCGUCGUCUGUGAAAUUCCGGGGCUUAACUCCGGGCGUGCAGGCGAUACGGGCAUAACUUGAGUACUGUAGGGGAGACUGGAAUUCCUGGUGUAGCGGUGAAAUGCGCAGAUAUCAGGAGGAACACCGGUGGCGAAGGCGGGUCUCUGGGCAGUAACUGACGCUGAGGAGCGAAAGCAUGGGGAGCGAACAGGAUUAGAUACCCUGGUAGUCCAUGCCGUAAACGGUGGGCGCUAGGUGUGGGUUUCCUUCCACGGGAUCCGUGCCGUAGCUAACGCAUUAAGCGCCCCGCCUGGGGAGUACGGCCGCAAGGCUAAAACUCAAAGGAAUUGACGGGGGCCCGCACAAGCGGCGGAGCAUGUGGAUUAAUUCGAUGCAACGCGAAGAACCUUACCUGGGCUUGACAUAUACAGGAUCGCGCCAGAGAUGGUGUUUCCCUUGUGGCUUGUAUACAGGUGGUGCAUGGUUGUCGUCAGCUCGUGUCGUGAGAUGUUGGGUUAAGUCCCGCAACGAGCGCAACCCUUGUCUUAUGUUGCCAGCACGUUGUGGUGGGGACUCGUAAGAAACUGCCGGGGUUAACUCGGAGGAAGGUGGGGAUGACGUCAAAUCAUCAUGCCCCUUAUGUCCAGGGCUUCACACAUGCUACAAUGGUCGGUACAGUGGGUUGCCAGUCCGUGAGGGCGAGCUAAUCCCGCAAAGCCGGUCUCAGUUCGGAUCGGGGUCUGCAACUCGACCCCGUGAAGUCGGAGUCGCUAGUAAUCGCAGAUCAGCAACGCCGCGGUGAAUACGUUCCCGGGCCU